This 383-nucleotide ribosomal RNA is filed under the name Streptomyces sp. NRRL F-6602. RNAcentral describes it as "bacterial LSU rRNA". It matches the Rfam family "Bacterial large subunit ribosomal RNA", at positions 2549 to 2925 of the family's 2925-position model. The record is from RNAcentral. Lineage: Bacteria; Bacillati; Actinomycetota; Actinomycetes; Kitasatosporales; Streptomycetaceae.
GGGGCUGGAGUCGGUCCCAAGGGUUGGGCUGUUCGCCCAUUAAAGCGGUACGCGAGCUGGGUUUAGAACGUCGUGAGACAGUUCGGUCCCUAUCCGCUGUGCGCGUAGGAAUAUUGAGAAGGGCUGUCCCUAGUACGAGAGGACCGGGACGGACGAACCUCUGGUGUGCCAGUUGUUCUGCCAAGGGCAUGGCUGGUUGGCUACGUUCGGGAGGGAUAACCGCUGAAAGCAUCUAAGCGGGAAGCCUGCUUCGAGAUGAGUAUUCCCACCUCCUUGAGAGGGUAAGGCUCCCAGUAGACGACUGGGUUGAUAGGCCGGAUAUGGAAGCCCUGUAAGGGGUGGAGUUGACCGGUACUAAUAGGCCGAGGGCUUGUCCUCAGUUG